UACGUAGGUGGCAAGCGUUGUCCGGAAUUAUUGGGCGUAAAGCGCGCGCAGGCGGCUUCCCAAGUCCCUCUUAAAAGUGCGGGGCUUAACCCCGUGAUGGGAAGGAAACUGGGAAACUGGAGUAUCGGAGAGGAAAGUGGAAUUCCUAGUGUAGCGGUGAAAUGCGUAGAGAUUAGGAAGAACACCGGUGGCGAAGGCGACUUUCUGGACGAAAACUGACGCUGAGGCGCGAAAGCGUGGGGAGCAAACAGG
RNAcentral lists this ribosomal RNA (252 nucleotides) under Dialister invisus DSM 15470. RNAcentral describes it as "partial 16S ribosomal RNA". It matches the Rfam family "Bacterial small subunit ribosomal RNA", at positions 524 to 776 of the family's 1533-position model. The record is from RNAcentral. Lineage: Bacteria; Bacillati; Bacillota; Negativicutes; Veillonellales; Veillonellaceae.